Molecule: long non-coding RNA, 3961 nt
Organism: Oncorhynchus nerka (sockeye salmon)
Lineage: Eukaryota; Metazoa; Chordata; Actinopteri; Salmoniformes; Salmonidae
Exons: 2
Source: RefSeq, a predicted model, not a curated record
AACAUUUGUUGCAAGGUCUGCAUAACACUAAAGUUACAAACAAGGUGUUCUGGGCUCUGAAGGAAUUGGAUCUGUCCCUUCGAAUUCCAGUAGGAAUUGGCUUGUCUAUUUCAGGGCUCAUCGGACUAGACUCGGGUGAGCACUUUCCAUUAUUUGCAUGUCCAGUGGGUGGGUUAGGCUUACAUAAAGUAAGGAUGGAUGAAAAUUGUGUUUUUAAAUACAGUAUUAAUAUAUGGGGUGAUAUGACAUACAGUAAAUUACAUUUUCCAAAACAGGCAAUUCAUCGGACAAUGCUGUUCUCUGUUGUUGUGGAUGACAUUUUCCCCAGACCACAUGACUGAGUCUCCUUUUUCUAUCGCCUAAAAGCUAUCACUUUUCUCUCAACAGGAUGUGGCAAAACAGGAUGUGACUAGGUGUUCUCAGAAGAGGAGGAGAAUUGUUACAGAACUACCCACCACCAAAGGACCAAGCAGUGUGGUGAGGAGCAGCAGAGCUAUCUGGAGAAAUGGACAUGGGAGGAGAUACUGGAAGGCAAGGGACCCUUGGCAUAGGCUGGGGAGUAUCGCCAUCCACAGGAGGAACUGGAGGCAGCUAAGGCUGAGCGGAAACACUACGAGGAGUUGGCACGGCUGGCAAGGGGGGAAGCACACGGGAAGUGUGGCAGAGUCAGGAGUCAGACCUGAGCCAACUCCCCAUGCUUAUCGUAAGGAGCCAAGGACGCUGAAAUUUGAGGUGAGCGAUAGAAGCGAAGCAGAGACAGUGAAGGAGUUAAUGGGGAGAUUGGAGGAGAGAGUAAUGAGGGAGUUGGUGUGUUGGUGCAUGAGGCACGACAUCCGCCCGACAGAGCGUGUCUGGGAUUUGAUGCCACCUGAGUCAGCUCUCCAUACUCAUCCUGAGGUGCGUGCUAGCCAUCUGGUGAAGACUGUACCAGCCCCACGCACCAGGCCUCCUGUGCGCCUCCCUAGCCCUGCACGUCCUGUGCCAGCUCGGCGCUACAGCUCUCGAAGACGUGCUUACCAUGGCGGGCAUCGUACUGGUCAGGCACUGUGUUAUGAGGUGGAGCACACAGUGUCUCCAGUAUGUGUUCUUAGCCCGGUGCGCUACAUCCCAGCUCCCCGCAUCUGCUGGGCUAGGGUGAGGAUCCAGCCAGGACGGGUGGUGCCAGCCCUGCUCUCCAGACCUCCAGUGCGUCUCCUCGGGCCAGGAUAUCCUGCGCUGCGCACUGUGUCUCCCGUGUGUCUGCACAGCCCAGUGCGUCCUGUACCUGCGCCCCACACGUGCCAGGCCCUUAGUUCGAGACCUCCAGUGUGCCUCCACAUCCCAGUCUAUCCUGUGCCUCCUCCAAGGACCAGGCUGUCUCCCCGUCUCCUUCCUCCAGAGUCUCCCUCCAGCCCGGAGCUGCCAGAGUGUGUUGAGCACCUAUGUUGAGACCAGCUGAAAUCUCAACCCCAAACUCCCUUGUGAUUUAGUUGUUAGGUCUGGUCACUCACGGUUCUCACUCUUUGUGGCACCCAAAUUACCUUCAUGUUCAUGUUCUGUCAGUCUCUGCUAAGCCGUUUGAUACUGAGCUCUCUGCUCCAUUUGAUAAUCCAACACCGUCUACCUCGCCUCCAGUUUCCCUCUGGCACUGUGUGGCAGGUGUGCCAUGCACAGAGAGAGUGUUGACACAAGGCUCCAGCCAGGAGCGCUCUAAACUCCCAGUCGCUUAGAAUAACAUGGAGAGAGCUAAUUGUAUUACCUGCAUCACAGGGGUUGAAGAAAACCAGGAGUCUGUUGAUAGUGGCGUUGCUCAGAAGUGCAAUCCACAAGGCAUAGGUUUAUCUACUUUAUAUAUGUGGAGGAUGGAUGGAUGGGUGGAUGGAGGAAAAGUAUGAAAAUGUAUGCACUCAGUACUUUAAGUCACUCUGGAUAAGAGUGUCUGCUAAAUGACUCAAAUGCAAAUGUAAUAUGGCUGGAUGGAUAGAUGGAUGGGUGAGUGGCUGAAUCAAUCGAUCAACACCUAUCUGCUUAACUGUGAGAGAUGCUGCCCCCCCUUUCUUUAAGAGAAGGAUGAUCUAUUUGGCAUCACAUAGAAAAGAUGAAGGCAUAAAACGAAGGCUGGGUAUGAGCUUGACAUACAGUAACUGUCAAACUGCCAGCUCUGAACUCAGUCCUCUUAUCUCGCAGCGUCACUGUUUAUGGUGCCUUCAGAAAGUAUUCAUACCCCUUGACAUAUUCCACAUUCUGUGGUGUUACAGCCUGAAAUCAAAAUGUAUUAAAUAGAUUUUUUUCUAACCAUCUACACACAAUACUCCAUUGCAGCAAUUACAGAGUAUUUCUUGAAGCUCUUUGCACACCUGGAUUAUUCUAAAUUCUUCAAGCUUUGUCAAAUUUGGUUGUUGGAUCAUUGCUAGACAACCAUUUUCCCUUUCCAUGCAGAUUUAAGUCAAAACUCUAAUUUGACCGCCCAGGAACAUUCACUGUCUUCUUGGUAAGCAACUCCAGCGUAGAUUUGGCCUUGUUUUAGGUUAUUGCCCUAUGAAAGGUGAAUUAAUUUCCCAGUCUAUGGUGGAAAGCAGAAUGAACCAGGUUUAGGAUUUUACCUGAACCAUUUAGUUGAUUUUUUAUCCAGAAAAAACUCCCAGUCCUUAAUGAUUACAAGCAUAUCCUUAACAUGAUGCAGCCAACUAUAUGUUGAAAAUAUGGAGAGUGGUACUCAGUAAAGUAUUGGAUUUGCCUGAAACAUAACACUUCAUAUUCAGGACAAAAAGUGAAUUGCUCUGCCACAUUUUUUGCAGUAUUACUAUACUGCCUUGUUGCAAACAGGAUCCUUUUCACUCAGUCAAUUAGGUUAGUAGAGUAACUACAAUGUUGUUGAGCCAUCCUCAGAUUUCUCCUAUCACAGCCUUUAAACUCUUUAAAACUGUUUUAAAGUCACCAUUUGCCUCAUGGUGAAAUCCCUAAGCGGUUUCCUUCCUCUCCGGCAACUGAGUUAGGAAGGACGCUUGUAUCUCUGUAGUGACUGGGUGUAUUGAUACACCAUCCAAAGUCCAUUACAGUGAUAAGCAACGGAAUUGUCACAUUUAGUCUCCAUUUAAUGUCAUGCUACCUAGAGGUGUUUAAUCACUUAGAAAUGUCACAUCAUUUUCUCAAUUGGCCCAGCAUCAUCCAGGUUAGGGUUUGGCUGGGGUAGGCUGUCAUUGAAAAUAAGAAUCUUUUCUUUAAAAAAAUAUAUAUUUAACCUUUAUAGGGAGGACGAUUAAGAACAAUUUCUUAUUUACAAUGACGGCCUACACCGGCCAAACCCGGGUGUCUGUAGUGACACCUCAGCACCGAGAUGCAGUGCCUUAGACUGCUGCGCCACUCGGGAGCAAAGUCAGUUCUUAAGGUUAAAUUAAAAAUGAAUUUCGGGGUUAACUGAUUUCAUAUCAAGUCAAACCACGUAUAUUUUAAAGUGCAUUUCUUAUGAGUUUCAGUCCAUUACAGUGAUAAGCAACGGAAUUGUCACAUUUAGUCUCCAUUUAAUGUCAUGCUACCUAGAGGUGUUUAAUCACUUAGAAAUGUCAUAUCAUUUUCUCCUUUCCUUUAAGUUAAAAGCACACAUAUCUCCACUCCAUAAUGCUUAGAAUUCCCUACGGCGGUGCAUUCAUAAUAUACAUUUUUCCCCACGUCUUUUCCCCCACAUUUUCCCACACUGUUUUUUUUUCAGGUUAGCUGCAAGUUGACUUGAAUGUGAAUCAUCAGAAGUCAACAAUAGGUUGCACUCUCAAACCCACAGGAUUUUUAAAUAUUACAAAGUAUGCUUUCAUCAAAGAUUUGAAGCUUGCAUGAGUGAAUAUGCUAAAUAUAUAACGUAGAUUUUACAAUUAGGCCUUUUUGUGAACUGUAACUACACCAACCUAUUUUAGUGACAUUAUUCAUCCUUCUGUACAUUUAUAAAUUCAUUAAAGUGGUUGAAGUGACAACCACAUUUCAAAGACCA